Molecule: long non-coding RNA, 207 nt
Filed under: Gallus gallus (chicken)
Lineage: Eukaryota; Metazoa; Chordata; Aves; Galliformes; Phasianidae
Source: RNAcentral
UCAGGGGAACCUUAUAGCAGCCUUCCAGUACCUGAAGGGGACCUACAAGAGAGAUUUAGCUGUCUUCCUGAUACAAAUUUAUUUGUUCUGCUAAAAGGGUGUUAGAUGUCAGAUAUUUUCUACUUUUACAUUAUUACUUUUGCUGAAUCUUUCAAUAAUAAAUGAUUUGCAUGCCUUCUACAUAUGUAUUAAAAUACUAUUCUGCAC